UACAAAAAUAAAAAGCAUCCCUCUCGCUUAAUAUAUAAUGAUAGUAUGCUCUCAUAAAAGUAUGAAAUAUUUUUUUAAUAAACCCAAGAUCUUAAAAAUUAACCUUCUUCCGAACAAAUCCAUCUUUCUCAGCUCAACAUCAAUUAAAGAACCAUGUUAUUAUCCACGGUGUAAAUAACCAAUUCUCAAUUGAUGUUGGAACAAACUAGCUAAACCUCUUAAGAUCUUGUCCAACAAACUAGCUAAACCUCUUAAGAUCUUGGACUUAUUAAAAAACAUAAUUC
RNAcentral lists this long non-coding RNA (284 nucleotides) under Amborella trichopoda. Its description in RNAcentral is "long non-coding RNA (ATRI_LNC001932)". Lineage: Eukaryota; Viridiplantae; Streptophyta; Magnoliopsida; Amborellales; Amborellaceae. The record is from RNAcentral.